This is a long non-coding RNA of Rhagoletis pomonella (apple maggot), 1188 nucleotides long. RefSeq lists it as uncharacterized. The transcript has 3 exons. NCBI's taxonomy places the organism in Eukaryota, Metazoa, Arthropoda, Insecta, Diptera, Tephritidae. The record is from RefSeq and is a predicted model, not a curated record.
UCGAUUGUAAUAGUAUCUUUUCAUAUAAUUCUCCGCAUCAUAUUCAUAGACUUCAAGUUCCAUCUCUAUAAUUUUUUUAUUCCCCUCCAUACCUUAAAGCAUAAUAAACAUAGCUCUGCAAGUUUCCUUAACCCAUCUUUUCACCCAUUUGAUUUUAUAUAAUCAGUUAUCGAUAAAUUAGAUAGCCACCUCAGUUUACAUCCAACUUCUGCCGAAAUCCCUUCUUUCUUUCUUUUGGGAACCAGCGAGCUGGAUACACGGGUGAAAAAAAAACAAGUGAAAAUAAUAUCUAUAGUAAACGGAAAGUUAAAUCUUACAUAUAUAUACCUAACAAAAAGUUGGCGAAAAUCAAUAAAUAUCUAUUAAUUCCGGUGCCAUCUUUAUAUAAAAUAAUAACGCCUGGAUUUUUACACACUAGAGAUGUCAAUAUCCACAUCAUCCUUUCGUUUGUCAAUGCAUGCGUUAAGGACAUUGGUGGGCUAAACUAUUUCCGUAAGCAAGUGCAUGCAAAUUAUUGCUCACACUGAUAUUCGUGACAACACUGGUCAUCCUCAAGAAUCCAUUCUUGGCGACAGGAAUUAUAGUGCUACUAAAGUUCUAUCAACUUGCACUCUAUGAUUCCACCUAAUUUUAAUACUUCAUUGUUGUCUCCGGAAUUGACACUGAGAACGAUAACUCCAUUGUGGGUAUCACCCACCUGUAUAACAUAGCCUUCAAUACCCGUUUCGACUACCAAAAACCUACGACCUCAUCGGCGACCGGCGAUAACUUCCAGCAUCACUAAUUGAAUUACAUUAUUAUUCUUCAUAUACCAUUCCUACAGUGAAUCAACAUCUAAUACAGCGAACUGACCUGAAAAAUAACAAAAGAAACCUUAACUGAGAAUUAUUGCAAAUGGGAUUAAUACAAUAUAUAGUAUUUACCUUUAGCGUAUAAUACUUACCUUAGUCUGUAAAAUUUACCUUUAAUCAUUUCCUUACACAUAAUUUAGAUCGUUUCGACGUAUUUUCCAAAUGUGCCUUCAAUCAAGGAGUUUUUGGAAUAAAAAUUACGCUCAAGAUCGCAGAAUAUUUUAUCUUUAAAAGUUUGUUUAUUCUAAAAGCACACCUCUCGCUAAGGUAUCAAAUUAUUCGUAAUUGUUUGUAGAAUACAAUACAUACUUAAAUAGUUCUUAAAAUUAAAUGCUUC